UCUGUAACACCAGGGGAUGUCAGACUUGGGUCCACUGAAAAAUGUACAGAGCUAAAUCAUAGCAUAAGCUGUCUACAAGGAAAAAUGUCUUAGAUUGGAUGUACAACAGUGUAUGGGCGCCCCCUAGUGUAUGGAUUAUUUCUGCAUGCAAUCACUCUUUAAGGUGGAAGAGCCAUCUUAAAUGGAAACUGCAGACGGUCGCUCGCCUCUCACAUACAGCAAACAUGCGCUUAUUUUAAUCUGAUUAAUGCUUUUGAGAUUUUCUACUAAUUUACUUGGACGUUGCGUUUGCAUGUCUCUACCGCGCAUUUUCUCUAGAGUGUUGUUCGCGCAUGGAAGUAUUGCAACGUUUCGGUAAAUUUCGGCCAGUUUAUUGAAACGAUAAAAGUGAGCACCGUACCCAUUCAAAGCCUGCAUGUGAACAAUACAGCCGAAAGCAAUACUGCAGAAGUAAAUUAUAACCUACCGAUUCAACAAGGAUUUUACGCCCAGAUAAAGACUAGCUGUGCACUGUCUCAGACCUCAGCAGGACUGUGAGGAGGGCAGAGGACACAGGACCCUGUGUGAGGACUGAAGAAUGCUCAGUGGUGACAUCAACACCAAAUGCACGACGGGAGGAGGAACUUUGCGCAAUGAUCCCACAAUAAGAAAGCAGGGAAGGCAAAAGGAUCAUUGGCUCAGUUGACAACGUGGUCCUUGAAAUCAACUAUGUCUUUUUGGAAAUUACACAGCACAGAAUUAUGGGUCUUCCUGAGGAUUGCCUUUCCUACAGAACUCAAAGAAAAGUCAGAGUUGUGGCCUCACUAUGAGUCUCUACCCAUAGAGAAAGCUGCAAACAAAACAUCUGCAUUCCAUUCAGAGAGUGUAAGAGGUGUGAAUGUCAGAGUGUCAGGGCACUGGGUCAAUGCUUGCAACAUGUUGAGGAAGCAUAUUGCAGAACUGAAUGGUGUAGCAAUUAUAAAAAUAAA
Xyrauchen texanus (razorback sucker) is the source of this 968-nucleotide long non-coding RNA. RefSeq lists it as uncharacterized. Lineage: Eukaryota; Metazoa; Chordata; Actinopteri; Cypriniformes; Catostomidae. The transcript has 4 exons. The record is from RefSeq and is a predicted model, not a curated record.